UACGUAGGGGGCUAGCGUUGUCCGGAAUCAUUGGGCGUAAAGAGCGCGUAGGCGGCCAGAUAAGUCCGGUGUGAAAGUCACAGGCUCAACCUGUGAAUGCCGCUGGAAACUGUCUGGCUAGAGUCCGGAAGGGGCGAGUGGAAUUCCUGGUGUAGCGGUGAAAUGCGCAGAUAUCAGGAGGAACACCAAUGGCGAAGGCAGCUCGCUGGGACGGUACUGACGCUGAGGCGCGAAAGCGUGGGGAGCAAGCAGG
This 253-nucleotide ribosomal RNA is filed under the name uncultured bacterium. RNAcentral describes it as "partial 16S ribosomal RNA". It matches the Rfam family "Bacterial small subunit ribosomal RNA", at positions 524 to 776 of the family's 1533-position model. The record is from RNAcentral.